UAAUACAGAGGUCCCAAGCGUUGUUCGGAUUUACUGGGCGUAAAGGGUGCGUAGGCGGUCGGGUAAGUCUGAUGUGAAAUCUCGCAGCUCAACUGCGAAACUGCAUUGGAUACUAUUCGGCUUGAGGUCUGGAGGGGGGACUGGAAUUCUCGGUGUAGCAGUGAAAUGCGUAGAUAUCGAGAGGAACACCAGUGGCGAAGGCGAGUCCCUGGACAGAUCCUGACGCUGAGGCACGAAAGCUAGGGGAGCAAACAGGAUUAGAUACCCUGGUAGUCCUAGCCGUAAACGGUGCGUAUUUGCUGUAAAAGGAAUCGACCCCUUUUGUGGCGUAGCAAACGCGUUAAAUACGCCGCCUGGGAAGUACGGUCGCAAGAUUAAAACUCAAAGAAAUUGACGGGGGCCUGCACAAGCGGUGGAGUAUGUGGCUUAAUUCGAUGCAACGCGAAGAACCUUACCUGGCCUUGACAUGCAAGUAGUAGAAGGAUGAAAGUCUGACGAGGUAGCAAUACCAGCUUGCACAGGUGCUGCAUGGCUGUCGUCAGCUCGUGUCGUGAGAUGUUGGGUUAAGUCCCGCAACGAGCGCAACCCCUGUGUCCUGUUGCCACCCGGCCGAGAGGCUGGAGCACUCCGGACAGACUGCCUCGCUUCAACGAGGAGGAAGGUGGGGAUGACGUCAAGUCAGUAUGGCCCUUACGGCCAGGGCUGCACACGUACUACAAUGCCCGGCACAAAGGGAAGCAAGAUCGCAAGAUGGAGCAAAUCCCCAAAAACCGGGCCCAGUUCAGAUUGUCGUCUGCAACUCGACGGCAUGAAGCUGGAAUCGCUAGUAAUGGCGCAUCAGCUACGGCGCCGUGAAUACGUUCCCAGGCCUUGUACACACCGCCCGUCACAUCAUGAAAGCCGUUUGUACCCGAAGUCGCCCCUUAAAAGGUGCCGAAGGUAUGGAUGGUGAUUGGGAUG
RNAcentral lists this ribosomal RNA (960 nucleotides) under uncultured Verrucomicrobiota bacterium. RNAcentral's name for it is "bacterial SSU rRNA". It matches the Rfam family "Bacterial small subunit ribosomal RNA", at positions 521 to 1482 of the family's 1533-position model. The record is from RNAcentral. Lineage: Bacteria; Pseudomonadati; Verrucomicrobiota.